Molecule: ribosomal RNA, 253 nt
Filed under: uncultured bacterium
Lineage: Bacteria
Description: partial 16S ribosomal RNA
Rfam family: Bacterial small subunit ribosomal RNA
Source: RNAcentral
AACGUAGGAGGCAAGCGUUAUCCGGAGUUACUGGGCGUAAAGAGUGCGUAGGCGGAUCUGUAAGUGGGUGGUGAAAGCGCCCGGCUAAACCGGGCGAGGUCCAUUCAGACUGCAGGUCUAGAGGCGGAUAGAGGGGUGCGGAAUUCCGGGUGUAGCGGUGAAAUGUGUAGAGAUCCGGAGGAACACCAGUGGUGCAGACGGCGCCCUGGGUCCGAACUGACGCUGAAGCACGAAAGCGUGGGGAGCGAACGGG